This 440-nucleotide ribosomal RNA is filed under the name uncultured bacterium. Its description in RNAcentral is "partial 16S ribosomal RNA". It matches the Rfam family "Bacterial small subunit ribosomal RNA", at positions 338 to 795 of the family's 1533-position model. The record is from RNAcentral.
CCUACGGGUGGCAGCAGUGGGGGAUAUUGCACAAUGGGGGGAACCCUGAUCCAGCGACGCCGCGUGCGGGAAGAAGGGCCUCGGCGCGUAAAGCUCUUUCAGCAGGGAGGAAAAUGCCGGUACCUGAAGAAGAAGCCCCGGCUAACUACGUGCCAGCAGCCGCGGGAAUACGGAGGGGGCAAGCGUUAUCCGGAUUGACUGGGUGUAAAGGGGGCGCAGGGGGCGUUGUAAGACAGUAGUGAAAGCCCGGGGCCAAACCCCGGGACUGCUCGUGGAACUGCGUGGCUGGAGAGCAGGAGGGGUAGGCGGAAUGUCUGGUGUAGCGGUGAAAUGCGUAGAGAUCAGGAGGAACACCGGUGGCGAAGGCAGCCUGCUGGACUGCAACUGACGUUGAGGCCCGAAAGCGUGGGGAGCAAACAGGAUUAGAUACCCUUGUAGUC